Molecule: non-coding RNA, 200 nt
Filed under: Anophryoides haemophila
Lineage: Eukaryota; Ciliophora; Oligohymenophorea; Philasterida; Glauconematidae
Source: RNAcentral
AAAUCUAAAAAAUCAAUUAAAUUUUCAAAUAUUUUAUUAAUUUUUUAAUUUUAAAUUUUUUAAUUUUUAAUUUUAAUUUCUCAGGCUUUAGAAGGUUCCUACAAACUAAGUCCAGCGUCAGAAAAAUCGGGGUCAGCCUUACUUAAAGGUCUAGAAAAGUUAACAACACUUUCAUUUUGAUUACCCAUUUUUUUUUUAUA